UUCCCACGCGCACGUACGACCCAGAUCAAAGGCGCGCGUGGAUGACCCAGAUCUCACGCGUACGGACGGUCCAGAUUUGAUCACGCACGGACUGCCCAGAUCGCAUCGUGAUGGACAGCCCAGAUUUAUUUUCAAUUUAAUUACGAUCGGACGGUUCAGAUUAAAUCAUGAUGGACGGCUUAACGUUGUCUGGUGAUGGUAUUUGACAUCACUUAACGUUGUCUUUUUUCGUUCUUAUUUUGCAAACCAAACAGGUUGUAUGUUUAUAUUUUGGUUCGAUUUGUAAUUUGAAAAAGAAAACUAAAAGUAAACAAUCAACAUAAUACAUAUGAAAUU
RNAcentral lists this long non-coding RNA (336 nucleotides) under Carica papaya (papaya). Its description in RNAcentral is "long non-coding RNA (CPAP_LNC006332)". The record is from RNAcentral. Lineage: Eukaryota; Viridiplantae; Streptophyta; Magnoliopsida; Brassicales; Caricaceae.